Molecule: non-coding RNA, 156 nt
Filed under: Reticulomyxa filosa
Lineage: Eukaryota; Foraminifera; Reticulomyxidae
Description: Archaeal large subunit ribosomal RNA
Rfam family: Bacterial large subunit ribosomal RNA
Source: Rfam by way of RNAcentral
GAUAACAGCGUAAUUUUUUUUUUAGUUCAAAUAAAAAUAAAAGUUUAGCGACCUCGAUGUUGGAUUAAGAUAAAAUUUGAAUGCAAAAGUUUAAAAUUUUGAUCUGUUCGAUCAUUAUCUUACAUGAUCUGAGUUCAAACCGGUGUGAGCCAGGUU